GCUGGGAGGCGGGGAGCCCGGCAACCCGAGCGACGGGAGGUGUGCGGAGUCGGGAGUGGCCAGCCAAUCAAGAGGGCAGUGCCAUCUCAGGGAAUGACGCUCGGGCCAAUGGGAAGGGCACUCCAUUCCGUCAACGCUGUGGGUCGAGGCUCUGAGAAAAGAGAGCAGGGUGGGAGUCAGCCAGGUUGGUGUGUGCCCAGGGGAGGGGAAACGGAGAGAAGUUCCUGGGAAGAACUGCGGGAAUGUGCGGCUGGAAUUCACUCUCCUCCCGCCUAGGCUGCGGAGGGAGUGCUGGGCCCUGCUCGCGGAUUCCCUGCCACUCCCAACAGUGCGGUCCAGGGUCCCUCCGCCACCCAUCACUCCAUCCCUGGGAUUCCAGUGCCUUAAGAAAGAUGCGCUGUUCGAGAAGGCACGUUCCUUAUGUUCUGUAUUUUCCUCUCCGUUUCAUUAUUCGCUUUUUCACAAUUACUGAAACCAUAAUGAUGGAAUAGAAUGUGGAGCCUUCCUCUUUCUCUUUCUUUCUUUCUUUCUUUCUUUCUUUCUUUCUUUCUUUCUUUCUUUCUUUCUUUCUUUCUCUCUCUCUCUCUCUCUCUCUCUCUCUCUCUCUCUCUCUCUCUCUUUCUUUCUUCGCUAAAGCUUAGCAAAAGAAGAAUGCAGGUUUUUUGGUGAAGGAAAAUAUAAAUAAAACCGUCAGGGGUUUUUCUUUUACUCAUCUACACGCAUAAGUGGGCUAAGUAAAUGCAACUGCCUUCUACAUAAAUUAGAGCGCGUAAAGAUUAAAAAUGCAUGGACAAGGAGUAUUUCAAAUUCUGCUAUGACAUAUAAUAUUAAUCCGUUUUAUGUAAAAUUCAUACCUGUAACUUAAUUUAGGUCAUUAAUGCACCACUUCACGCAUUAGCGUAUCCUGCUUUAAAUAAGGUUGUGAGAAUUGGCAACAAAGCAUAAAAUUCACACUUCUAGUCCUGAGAUCCUGUUUGGGCCCCACCCUGCAAAAACGCCUGUUCAUUAAGGACGUUUUGUGUUCGAUUUCUAACGGAAAAGCUGUCCUUCAAGGGUUCAAAAUUAAACUGCACAAUGAACUCUGGUGGGAUGUUGUGUGUACCCUUCAAGAAAUAAUUAAGCCCUUCAGAUGAGAAAUGAGCACUAGUGCUGAUACAGACUUACUCCUGCUGCCUUUAGGUUGCUGAUGCCAGGCUGGAAACACUGAUAACCUCUUGGUUUGCUCAGUCUUACAAAAAAGGCUUACAGAAAAAAGGGUGUUGUAAAUUCAGUGUAGCCUACUAGACAUGGCCCUGCAAAAUACCUAUCCCAGGAGGUUUCAAAGGUAGUCUGGUUUAAUAGGAUGUAGCUAUGUUUUAAAAAAAAGUCCUCCUCAGGAUGCAAAAAACAAAAGGAAGGAAAAAAUGGCAUUUGUUUUACCUUGGAGAUAUGAAGAGUUUAGGUUCUGAAGUCUGUGCUCCAAUUUUGGCUUCCUUGCUACCUACUUUUAUAUCAUUAAACUAGCUUCCUAAAUACCUGUACCUUUCUUAUUUUCAAUUACAAUAAAAAUUAUAUGUACUUCAUAAGGUGCUUAUUCAAUACACACACACACACACACACACACACACACACUUAAGUGGCCUCUGUGCAAGAAAGUGUGUUAAGUGAAUGUCACAUAGUAAGUGGGCAAUGUUAAAAUUUUUGUUGCUUUUGGUAAAUAUUAUCUCACAGUCUGUGGCUUGUCUUAUAUUCACUUCAUCUCUUUCAAGAGCAGAAAUUUUAAAUUUUGGUGAAGUCGUUUGUCAGUGUGUCCUUUUAUAGUUCAGGCAUUUGGUAUUAUAUCUAACAGAUUUUUUUUUUAUAAUUCAGGGUGACAUAGAUUUCUCCUAUGUUCAGGUAUCUGGUCCUUGUUUUCUGUAUUAUGUUUAGGUCUAUGAUUUAUUCUGGAGAUUUUUUUUUUGUAUGUGGUGCAAGAUAUGGGUGGAUAUUGAUACUUUUGCAUAUUUUAAUUCAGUUGUUCCUGAAACUUUUGUUGAAAAACUUCUUUUGUGUUAAAUUGCCUUUGCAGUUUUGUCAAAAGUCAUUGUAUAUAGGUGUCCUUCUAUCUGUCCUCUAAAUUCUGCUCUAUUCUUCUACUUACUAGUUUUUUAUGCACAACCAUAUUGUGUUUAUUACUAUAGCUUCAUAAUAAGUCUUGAAAGCAGAUAAUGUUGGCCAUUGAGCUUCCUGCUGAGUUCCUCUUUUUGACUAUUCCAGGUAUAUUGCAUUUUCAUGUGAAUUUAUGAGUCAGUUUGUGAAUUCCUUCCAAGAAGGACUUACAUUCAAAACAUAUAAAGCAUGGAGAGCUCACUAGGAGAGUGCCUGCAUAGCAUGCUUGAACCUCUGGGUUUGAUUCCUAGCACAGAAAAAAAAAGUGUUCACAAAACAUUUAAAGUAUCUCUACCCAUUAUAUAUAAAGAACUCUCAAAUUCAACAAUAAGAAAGUGAACAACCCCAGUUUUAAAAGUGGGCAAAAGAGUUGAACAGACAACCUAGUAAAGAAUAAGUAAAAAUGGUAAAUAAAUAAGCUGCUUGAUAUCAUUGGUCAUAAGAAGCAUACAUUUCACAACUACAAUGAAGCACCACCACAUACCUGUGAAAACUGCUAAAAUUAAAGACUGAACAUGCUAUGUAUUGGUGAUUCUGGAGAGCAGCUAUCAUGCACUGUCAGUGGAUAGGAAUAUAAAAUUAUGAAGACUACCU
Molecule: long non-coding RNA, 2721 nt
Filed under: Marmota monax (woodchuck)
Lineage: Eukaryota; Metazoa; Chordata; Mammalia; Rodentia; Sciuridae
Source: RNAcentral